This 257-nucleotide ribosomal RNA is filed under the name uncultured bacterium. RNAcentral describes it as "partial 16S ribosomal RNA". It matches the Rfam family "Bacterial small subunit ribosomal RNA", at positions 524 to 776 of the family's 1533-position model. The record is from RNAcentral.
GACGGAGGAUGCAAGCGUUAUCCGGAAUUAUUGGGCGUAAAGCGUCCGCAGGUGGAUGUACAAGUCUGCUGUCAAAGUGCAGAGCUUAACUCUGUAAAAGGCGGUGGAAACUGUAGGUCUUGAGUAUGGUGAGGGGUAGAGGGGAAUUCCCGGUGUAGCGGUGAAAUGCGUAGAUAUCGGGAAGAACACCAGUGGCGAAAGCGCUCUACUGGGCCAUAACUGACACUGAGGGACGAAAGCUAGGGGGAGCGAAAGGG